Long non-coding RNA from Triticum urartu, 2895 nucleotides. RefSeq lists it as uncharacterized. NCBI's taxonomy places the organism in Eukaryota, Viridiplantae, Streptophyta, Magnoliopsida, Poales, Poaceae. The record is from RefSeq and is a predicted model, not a curated record.
GUGUCCGCUGCAAUGGAGAAACCCUAGCCGUCGCUCGCCCCCGCGUGCCCCCGAGCCCCCCUUGCCGCCGCCACCCCAAUGGAGGUGAGCGAGGAGAGGGCACUCCACGGCGAUGAGCGGCAUGGCCGCGUCGACGAGAGGAGCGUACGGCCCGUUGCAGCCGCCGUGGGGCGUGGUUCCGAAUCGGCGCAGGUCGCCGCCAUGGGAGAGGUGUGUCGUGGUUCUGGAUCGGCGCAGGUCGCCGCCGCGGGAGAGCAAGGGUGGCCUGGUCUUCUGGUGCUUGUGGAGGAGCAGGGGUGGCCCUUGUCCUACAUCACCACAUCAAGUAGGAAGAGGAGGUCCUCGUCAUCCACCACAACCGUCAGGGGCUUGCUGACGCUGGAUCCAGUGGGGAGGAGAUCCUUUAGGCAUUUGAUUCUUGUGGGAUUCCCACACAUCUUGCAAGAUCAACACGCCAUUGUUUUUCACGCACACAUAUGCUUUGAUUUCUGAAUCAGGGCCGGACAGUAAACUGCACCAUUCUAUAUUACGGUCCUAACCAGAUAUAUUGUUUGCUGAUACACUGGUCUUUAUUUGUUAGUUUUUACAGAAUAAAUGUAUUGUGGAUAAUUAGCUUUGGGGCAUAUCCCUGUUACCCUUUCCAAGAAAAACAUUGGUUUAAGUCUACACUUUAUUACACAGUUAUAGCUUAACACCUUCAAAUUAUUAAUGUGUUCUCACUUUUCUUUAGGUGAAACAGGUUGAGUGCAUCAGCUACUUCCAUGGCAAUUGAUUUAAGGAAAUGCAGAUCAACCGAGGCACAUUAUCUAACUCGUAUAAACUUAUCAUUGUUUUUACCUUUUCAUGCAGUUUUCCUUUACGAUUAUAGAUGACAUCUUAGCAGGAAAGAAUAUAGUCGUGAAAUUUACUUCAAAUGUAAGCCUUGGAGUUUCAUAUUCACCUUCAAGUAUUCCUGAAAUGAAAGAUAGGUUUUGUUGGUUCCUCAGGUUUGGAGAACUAGAGUUAUGGCGAUACAUAUUUGGGUAUUGAAACUAUCUGUGUUUGUGAUCAGCUCAUUUUUGUGUUGGACGCUUAUUUAGCCAGCAGAGACGGCGCCAUCUCCGGCCGCCGGCGCUCUGCAGUGAUGCCUCAAAAUUGAGUUAUUGUUUAGGCCUCCUCCUGUAGGGAAAGAGACUUCAUUUGAUGCAUAUAUAUACUAUGCCGCAUACUUUUUAGAUUUGUAUGGUUCCUAAAUAUACGACAGUGUUUGAUUAAUUUUUGUUCCAGAAAGAAGUAUAUAUCCUGUUUAUAAGGAUCCAUAUUGCAGGAUAUCAAAAUUAGUCAUUACUCAAUGCAGCCAUACAGAUGACUGAUCCAUAUUGCAGGAUAUCAAAAUUAGUCAUUACUCAAUGCAGCCAUACAGAUGACUGCAAAUACAUAGUUAUGAGCAUUUUUUCCUGUUUUACCACAGAUUGCCAUGGUCCAUGUGUUGAAACCUGAAAUUUUUGAAUAUAUACUACUGGGUUAGUUUUAUUGCGGUAGGAUUAACUUACACAUAACUUAAAUGUGGCAUGUCAUUGUAAGAAGAACCAGCUUUUGAUUAGUAUUUUGAAAUAGGAUAAAAUGAUUCAUCCACCGACCGCGACGAGUUCCUACCGGUAUUUGUUGGAUGAGGACAAAAAAUAACAUGGGCCGUUCUAGCCCUGCUCCAAACUAAACUCGCAGAGGGUUGAGGGCGGGUGGCAGACGUCCAACCUAGAGCGCUUCAUGUACUGCACCAUCCUGGACGUCAAGGCCCACAUUCUUCUGAGGUGACGCUAUUGCACCUCUCAAACCUGGCACCUUAAAUGCUUUGUCAUGUUUAAUUUUGCUCAAGAGUUCUGACAGUUUAAGGAUCUGUCAUUGCUUGUAUCUGUUGUGCGUGACAUGACCUUCUAAUUACCGAAUUAGUGCUCAUUGUUCGAUCAUAGACAUGAAAUGUUGAAUAAUGGUAUAGUAUACAUGUAAUGUGUCCGCUCUAUUUCCCCCUUCUUUAUUUUAAGAAUUAUUUUUUGCUGCCUGCGGAGAACGAAAUUUGUUUUCUGCUGACACUAUGCAUACUGCCUAAUAAAUACACACACCUGUUGAUCCCCUGUUUUCUUGCUGUUUGACAAACAGUACAAGCAAAGCAAGUUCAGGUGCUAUUCUAUUUAGAAAUAGCUACACAACACAUAUCCUUUAGUUACUAUGAUCAUUGUUUGUCUCGCUAGAAAUUAAUACACACACAGGCACAUAUAGAAUCAUAAACCCCACUUACUCCCAGUAUCUUCUUCCCUGCGAGGUCAGAGGCAAGCUUCCUGGCGACGGCGGCGGCGCUGGAUUUGCUCAUGGGUUGGUGCUGUAUCUACCGCUGACCUCCGGCACAGAUACGCUGACCUCCGGCGCCCUGGCCCCUCCGCCCCCAGCCUCACCUUUCCCAUGUCCGCCCUCGCCGAGCACUGAAUCUGCCGGCAGCCAGGCGUUCAAGACCUGACAGGGUUGGGUCAACUGGCCCUUCGUGUUCAAGACCCGGCUCUGAUGAGGUUGAGAGUCGUGCUACCGACUGGGCAUAUCUUCAUCCUGAGCCGUGUCCGGAACCAGACCAGUAGGGGCACCCUGAGGGAGUACUCGAGGCAUGCUGUCAAGUUGGACGAGUGCAACCAGGGCAGCUGCCGUGUGUGUCCAGGGUUCAUACAGUCAAGGUGUUCGCUCAUCUUGGGCGAGAACCAGCAUUACAAGAGGAAUCCCCCAUAUUUUUCAUUCCUUGAUAGAUGGUUACAUUGUUGUAUGUUGGUUAAAGACAAUGUUUUUCUUCUCGGAUUAUGAAACCUCAAACAACAGUAAGAUAUAACCGUUUUGUUCGUUUUGCAAUCAAAGCUACCAUCGAAUAAUAUUUUA